AUUCCAGCUCCAAUAGCGUAUAUUUAAGUUGUUGCAGUUAAAAAGCUCGUAGUUGGAUCUUGGGUCGUAAGGGUCGGUCCGCCUACUCGGUGUGCACCUGCCCUUCUGUCCCUUUUGUCGGCGGCGUGCUCCUGGCCUUAAUUGGCUGGGUCGCGGUUCCGGCGCUGUUACUUUGAGAAAAUUAGAGUGCUCAAAGCAAGCUUAUGCUCUGAAUACAUUAGCAUGGAAUAACGUGAUAGGAGUCUGGUCCUAUUGUGUUGGCCUUCGGGACCGGAGUAAUGAUUAAUAGGGACUGUCGGGGGCAUUCGUAUUUCAUUGUCAGAGGUGAAAUUCUUGGAUUUAUGAAAGACGGACCACUGCGAAAGCAUUUGCCAAGGAUGUUUUCAUCA
RNAcentral lists this ribosomal RNA (389 nucleotides) under Embryophyta sp. Its description in RNAcentral is "partial small subunit ribosomal RNA". It matches the Rfam family "Eukaryotic small subunit ribosomal RNA", at positions 582 to 975 of the family's 1831-position model. Lineage: Eukaryota; Viridiplantae; Streptophyta. The record is from RNAcentral.